RNAcentral lists this long non-coding RNA (251 nucleotides) under Elaeis guineensis (African oil palm). RNAcentral's name for it is "long non-coding RNA (EGUI_LNC061516)". The record is from RNAcentral. Lineage: Eukaryota; Viridiplantae; Streptophyta; Magnoliopsida; Arecales; Arecaceae.
GUUCAAGACCUCAUAACUUGAUUCUUCUUAUAGAUGAUCGAAAUUAAACCCAUCUCUUGUAAAUGGAAGAAAAAUCAACACCUUAAUUCUAAAUAAGAUUUCAAAUUUCUCUAUCAAAACAUCAACUACUCUUAAUUAAUCAACCUAUCAUAGGAUUAGAUUGUAAGUGACUCUAAUCUACUUCUUGUAGAAUAAUCUUCAAUAUCGAUAGAUAAUCUCAAACUUUUUCAAUCAGGUGGACAAGUGAUACU